RNAcentral lists this unclassified non-coding RNA (200 nucleotides) under soil metagenome. RNAcentral describes it as "partial contains internal transcribed spacer 2 and large subunit ribosomal RNA". The record is from RNAcentral.
UCAACCCUCGAGCUCCCUUUGGGGAGCCCGGCGUUGGGGACCGGCAGCUACCGCCGACCCCGAAAUACAGUGGCGGCCCGUCACGGCGACCUCUGCGUAGUAAUCCAACCUCGCACCGGGAACCCGACGCGGCCACGCCGUAAAACACCCCAAUUCUGAACGUUGACCUCGGAUCAGGUAGGAAUACCCGCUGAACUUAA